AGAGAUGGGCAUUUGGCCUAGUUCAGGCUAAUGAGAAGCAGGUUGGAAUGAUCUGGAAGACGCAGUUAUUUCUUUGCAAAGGGCUUUCUAAAAGAAUAUCAGCUGGAGCUGCAGGGGGCAUCUUGCCACUGUUGGUAAAGGUCUUGCCUGAGAAUGAAGCCAACACGGAGGCAAGCAGAGGUGGAGAGAGACUGAGUCCUGAAGACAUUAUUUAAACUCUUGGAUCAAACUGUGCCUGAAGCUCAUCCAUGCCUGCACUUUUCAAUUAUAGGAGGAGCAGCUGGAGGCCCCAAGAGCCCACGUCCCUCUGCUCUCAAGUGGUUCAAGAAUCAUCCAGUGGAAGUUGCCUACCUGCCUCAUUACAAGGUCAGGCAAGGGCAGCCCUGGGACUUGUUUUCUGCUCACUUGGAGGCUGUUCUGAGGGUUUCAGGGACUGGCUCCACUGUUUACUAGCCAUGUGACCUUGAGGCAAUAAUGUCGCCUCUGUGCACCUGUUUUUUAAAUCUGAAACAUGGGGAGAACAGUUCCUAUCUCCUAGGGCCACUGUGAGGAGUGGCUGUGGUGGUGCCUGCUAAGUGCUGUGCCAGCGCUCAACGUGAUCUCAUCGCCUUUAUAACAACUACAGAGACUGGGACCUGCAGCAGAGACCCAGCGAGCGUCCACACCUCCUCUCCAGGCCUGUGCUCCUGCAGCUGGGACCAGGGACAGUGCAGCUCACUGAGCCAUCAGGCAGUCCGCACCUGUUAUUGAGCUCCUGUGGGAGCAAAACCCACAGUCAGGCGCUCACAGAGCUGGCAGUCCCAGGGGGCCUGUGCACGGGCCUAUAUGUGUAGGAGAGAGAACAGCAGUGCCAGGCAGCACGAGCUGAGGGCCGAACAAACAGGCAGAUGAGUAGGGACUCCGGACUUGGAGAAGGGGAGAUGGGUGGAGACUUGGAGAUGAGGUGAAGAUACAGGAAGGCUUCCUGGAAGAGCAGAGCCCUGGAGCAUGGCAGGAUCCAGACAGAAGAGAGGACUGGGAAACGAGAGCAGAAAUUUCAAACGUUUGUGGCCCAUCCUUGCUAGGGAUGCAUCAUGUGACUACUUGACCCUCUACAGCCCCAAUCAUCUGUCACUUCCGUUCCUCUCCUCUCAGGUGGCAUGGUCUGGUUAUUUUGACAUACACGUCAACACUCCCAUUCCUAUACCAUUGGCAGACAUCACUAAUCAACUACAGAACACAACUAAAUCCACCCCUCUCACACACACAGACACACCCCCCCCCCCCCCACACACACGCUACUUAUGCGUCUCAAAGCAGGAAGCUAUUAUUAACCUAUUGUGGUUAGCAGUUGGGGUGAAACCAUUUUGCUGACUCAGGUUGGGUUGAAAUAAAGCACCGUCUUUGAAACCUAGAAA
This 1397-nucleotide long non-coding RNA is filed under the name Equus caballus (horse). Its description in RNAcentral is "lncRNA (ENSECAG00000046757.1)". Lineage: Eukaryota; Metazoa; Chordata; Mammalia; Perissodactyla; Equidae. The record is from RNAcentral.